Molecule: transfer RNA, 28 nt
Filed under: Eucalyptus kitsoniana
Lineage: Eukaryota; Viridiplantae; Streptophyta; Magnoliopsida; Myrtales; Myrtaceae
Description: partial tRNA-Lys
Source: RNAcentral
GUUCCGGGUUCGAGUCCCGGGCAACCCA